GUUUUUAUAGUGUAAACAACACAUUAUCUUUUCGAGAUAAAAAUAAUCUAAUUUAAAAACA
RNAcentral lists this transfer RNA (61 nucleotides) under Bahadzia jaraguensis. Its description in RNAcentral is "transfer RNA Glutamic acid". The record is from RNAcentral. Lineage: Eukaryota; Metazoa; Arthropoda; Malacostraca; Amphipoda; Hadziidae.